This 22-nucleotide microRNA is filed under the name Helianthus annuus (common sunflower). The record is from RNAcentral. Lineage: Eukaryota; Viridiplantae; Streptophyta; Magnoliopsida; Asterales; Asteraceae.
UAAAACUGAGAAAGACAUCAUG